GCCCUUCAGAGGGGGACAACAGUUGGAAACGACUGCUAAUACCGCAUACGAUCUAAUCUCGGCAUCGAGGAUAGAUGAAAGGUGGCCUCUACAUGUAAGCUAUCACUGAAGGAGGGGAUUGCGUCUGAUUAGCUAGUUGGAGGGGUAACGGCCCACCUAGGCGACGAUCAGUAGCCGGACUGAGAGGUUGACCGGCCACAUUGGGACUGAGACACGGCCCAG
RNAcentral lists this ribosomal RNA (222 nucleotides) under uncultured bacterium. Its description in RNAcentral is "partial 16S ribosomal RNA". It matches the Rfam family "Bacterial small subunit ribosomal RNA", at positions 128 to 334 of the family's 1533-position model. The record is from RNAcentral.